AUCAUCUGGGAAUUCGGUUAAAAUGCAGAUUCUGAUUCAGUAAGUCUGGGAUGGGGCCUGAGAUUCUGCAUUUCUAACAAGCUUCCAGGUGAUCCUGA
Molecule: microRNA precursor, 98 nt
Filed under: Equus caballus (horse)
Lineage: Eukaryota; Metazoa; Chordata; Mammalia; Perissodactyla; Equidae
Description: mir-544 microRNA precursor family
Rfam family: mir-544 microRNA precursor family
Source: Rfam by way of RNAcentral